Molecule: long non-coding RNA, 2422 nt
Organism: Alosa sapidissima (American shad)
Lineage: Eukaryota; Metazoa; Chordata; Actinopteri; Clupeiformes; Clupeidae
Exons: 3
Source: RefSeq, a predicted model, not a curated record
CUCUCCUCCUCCUCUCCUCUUCCUCCUCUUUCUCUCCUCCUCCCCUUCCUCCUCCUCUCGUCUCUCUGUCUGUCUCCCUCCACAGGUGCGAUCCCAGAAGGGAGUGCAGGCUGCUUCGGGUCGCUCUGGUGAAUCCCAUGGAAGGGAUGUUCUGCUGUUCCGCCGUCUUUGACUCUGGCUGCUCUAAAGCUCCUCGGGCCGCUCGGCGGGCCAGUCAGCUGGCUGCUCAGAGCUGAGGAAUCUUGUUCUCCUGCUUUUACGACGUAAUGCUGGGGAAUGUCAACACGGCAGGUUUCCCUUCGAUAAGGCAUCGUGUGGAGGUGGCAGAUAGGAUCGUUGGGAUCAGCUGUUGUCUCGCAGGGCCAUUUUCAGGUGAUUCGCUAAAAAAACAAAUGUUGUGUGUUUUGUUUUGUGUGUUUUGUUCUUUGAGAUUUAAUACUUUUUUUUUUUUUUUCAUUGGGUUGGACGUAAUUUGUUGGGUUUAUCAUCCCAUCAAGCUUCAUUCCAUUCUUCUGACACAUGUCUUUUGUACUCCUGACUCUGUCUAUAAAAAGCUUAAUUGAGUCAAUUAAACCACACCUCUAACUUAAACGAUACAAAUGACAGAAGUAGUGGAGUCUUAGACGGUUCAGAUCCGGAGAGGAAGCUCAAUCAGCCUAAUCACUGAGAUCUACUCCUGCUCCAUGCAGCGUCCCCAGCCCAUGUGGGCCCAAUGCCUCUCCUGCUCUGGCUGUGGGCGUCUCUUAAAACGAAUGUGUUGUCCCUAUCUGGACACAGAGAUGUGUUAAAAAGCAAGACAUGUUGUGUUGUUUUCAACGCCCAAGUUAUUUUCAACACAUAUUGUGUAACAAAUAAAAAAAAGGAAACAACACAAGCCGUGUUGUCCUUAUCUGGACAAAGAGAUGUAAAAAAAAGCAACACUUUUUUGUGUUGUUUUCAACGCAAGUUGUGUUGUUUUUAACACAAGUUGUGUUAUAGGAACUCAAGCCGUGCUGUCCCUAUCUGGACACAGAGAUGUAACAACGCAAGUUGUGUUAUUUUCAACACAAGAAGUGCCUAUCUGGACACACAUUCGUUUUACAGUAAGAGUACCUGCUUUGACACCCACUGCUGCUGUGUACACGGUGCAGGUACACCACUGCCAUCUACUGGCCACAAUGGUACAUAGCUGCCAAGUGCAUGAAGCAGUUACUGUAAACAAAUGGCCCCGAGCUCAGUCACAAGACCUCAUCCUGUCUAUCCCUGGCUUGACUCAACUUAGGAGGAUUGUUCUGUUAUUCACACAAACCUUUAUCUUUGCUCAGCUAAAAAACACCUGGACAACACCAGUACACAAAUUACCUCACCUAAAAUGACUGGUCCUACAGGAUAUAGGAAAGGGUGUGUGUGUGUGUGUGUGUGUGUGUGUGUGUGAAUUGUACCUGAGGAGAAAGAGAGAGAAUGUUGUUAUGUAGUUAUGCAUGUUAUGUGAAUGUUACUAGAAAUGUAAAGUAUUAAUGUAAAGUAUUAAUGUCAGAAAGUCUUCUGUGUGUGUGUGUGUGGGGGGGGGGGGCGCAGACAAUAAUUCAUCACUGUGGUAAAGUGAAAUGGAAUUGGUUGUUUGUGUGUGUGUGUGUGUGUCUUUGUGUGUAUCUCUGUGUGUGUGUCUUUGUGUGUGUGUGUGUGUGUGUGUGUGUGUGUGUGUGUGUCUGUAUCUCUGUGUGUAUCUGUGUGUGUGUGUGACACUGAUAUUCCUCUGAGAGAGGGAGUGGAGUUUCCUGCAGAACAUCCCCUCCCUUUAGAAUCCUGCUGUCUGGCUGCCCGGUGUUUAUGUCCAGACUCUCACUCAUCAGUGCCAGUAUGGUCAACAUGAAUCCUUCCCUUGUGUCUGUUCCUCUGUCAGCUAGAGCAGCUCUUCCUUCCUGACCAGUGUUUCAGCUGGUUAAUGGCCAGGGCGAGGGCCAGUCUUUCAGCUGGUUAAUGGCCAGGGCGAGGCUCUAUGUAUUUGACCCCUGUGCUCUCUUUCCUGGACAAGCUGUGUGGCGUAUGAAGAGAGGAAGAGGGAGGCCAGAGUGCUGAAGGGGUCCAGGAGGGACCAGACACACACACACACACACACACACCAUCAGGAUCCAGGAGGGACCAGACACACACACACACACACACACACACAAUCAGGAUCCAGGAGGGAACAGGCGCACUCAGACACACACACACACACACACACACACACACACAAUCAGAAUCCAUCUACAGGCCAACACACUCACGCUCACGCUCAUGUCACACAGGCUAACGACAUUUGAAAAUAUUGGUUUUGCAAACAAUGUUGCAACACGUUGCAUUUACCACAAGCACUCACACACAUGCACUCACACACAUGCACUCACACACACACACACACACAUAAACAUACACACACACACACACACACACACACACA